UGCCAGCCGCCGCGGUAAUACGGAGGGGGUUAGCGUUGUUCGGAAUUACUGGGCGUAAAGCGCACGUAGGCGGAUUAGUAAGUUAGGGGUGAAAUCCCGGGGCUCAACCCCGGAACUGCCUCUAAUACUGCUAGUCUUGAGUUCGAGAGAGGUGAACGGAACUCACGGUGUAGGGGUGAAAUCCGUUGAUAUCGUGGGGAACACCAAAUGCGAAGGCAGUUCACUGGCACUUUCUUGACGCUGAGGCACGAAAGCGUGGGUAGCGAACGGGAUUAGAUA
Molecule: ribosomal RNA, 279 nt
Filed under: uncultured bacterium
Lineage: Bacteria
Description: partial 16S ribosomal RNA
Rfam family: Bacterial small subunit ribosomal RNA
Source: RNAcentral